GUACCUUCAUUUAUUUAUCAAUAUGCAUUGCUUAUUAGUGUGAUACCAUUCUUUACCAAGUCUGUAGAUAACUAACCAAGAUAUGUGCGUUAUGAUAACGGCUAAUCUAGAAAAUUCGGUAAAUAAUUGUAAACAUGAUUAUAGUGAACGACAACAAAUUGUCACUUGUGGUACGUACGUGAUUUUCGUUUAGACUGUCUACUACACUCCUAAAAACCAUUAAUAUUUGCGAUUUAGUUUGUAAUUUUCGUCCAUUUGUAUUUCGUUUGCGUUGCCAAGCUUUUUGUAUAAAUGGAAACUACGCGUAAGUAUCUAUAGUUCUUUUGAUAAUUUAUUUGCUGGACACCUAAUUCGAAAUAAUUUUUAUUUUAUAAAAUAAACAUAGGUACCAAUAUAUUUAUUUUACUUUGAACUCAGUACUGUAUCAUGUGCAUGUUCGAAUAAUAUAUUGAUUAGUCAUUCUAUACUAGCCAUAAAUUUAAGUUUUUAAAACGUUUUGUAAGCUUGUAGUAUAGUUUUGUAGGAGAUGGAGCCCGGUAGAUUUACUGUACCUAGAUAAUUCUCACUAAAUGAUCAAAUUAUAAAUAUUGUAUAUAAUAAUGUUUAAAAUGCGUUUAAAUAGGUUUGAAUAACAUCAAUGAUAAUUCCAACUUUGUGCUGUUGAUUUUAAAUAUAAUUUUUUCAAUGCAAAUUCUUUUUAGAUUCUGUGCAAAGC
Non-coding RNA from Cinara cedri, 715 nucleotides. The record is from the annotation of a GenBank genome assembly. Lineage: Eukaryota; Metazoa; Arthropoda; Insecta; Hemiptera; Aphididae.